This is a long non-coding RNA of Drosophila montana, 1509 nucleotides long. RefSeq lists it as uncharacterized. Lineage: Eukaryota; Metazoa; Arthropoda; Insecta; Diptera; Drosophilidae. The record is from RefSeq and is a predicted model, not a curated record. The transcript is spliced from 3 exons.
UUCUAACUGCUACAUAUCGAAUUCAAUUUUUUAAAUCGAUACCAUGGAAUGCCACAAAUGCCACUUCCUUUUGCUCCGCUCCAACCCCUUCCGCACGAGCAGCAGCAGGAUAAAUAUAUAUGCAUAUAUAGAGCAGCAAAAAAAGGGUUAAAACAAUAGAAAAUGUUGCCAGCGACAACGUGGACAAGAAUAAGGACGAGCGGACGGGUGGCGGAGACGGAGUUCGGGCUGGAGUUGGAGUUCAAGCUCCGCAAAACAAUUCUUUAUGUGUAUUAUGCUGGGAACGCUUUUAACGGCCCGUUCAGCUGUUGUACUAUAUGCCAGGCCGGGCGGGCACAGCCCUCGACUACCCUUCCCAGUACCCACACACACACAAGCCAGCUCCUGGCUUCUCUUCUCUGGCGGCUAUGUGAGCCAAAUCAUUAUUACAACAACAAUGAACUCUAAGCGCUGCUGCUCCGUUUCUGUUGCUGUUUCUACUUCUACUUCUAUUUCUGCAUUUGUUUUCGCUGCUGUUUUUAGCGCCGUAAGCCGUGCGCCCCAUUUGCUCGGCAUUUUUCAACUGCUGCAACCGAAACCCCCCCUCUAGCUGCCGGCAAAUCCAGUGCGGACAUCGAAUCCUUUCGUUCAUAAAUCAAGUCUUUGGUUUAAUUAAAUCUUGUGUUGGCGGUAAAAACGCUUAAAGAAAAAAAAGCAAACUACAAUAAGCAAGCAAUCGCGUAGCAAGACUAUAAGAUACCCUGCACAUAGGCAUUAUCGGAAUAACUCAAUUCCUAAAUUCAUAUAUUGUGAAGCAUCAUCAAUUGGCAGAUUCUUGUUGCCGCUCAUAAUAUGCCCUGCCCUAUUUCCCCUUAGAUUGCAGGGUAUUAAGAGGCGAGGGCUAUGAGCGGUUUGCCGUCUACAUCCGGCCAAAGUGAAAGCCAAAUACACAUCUUAGCUCUUAAUGAGACCAGGAUGUAUAUUCUAAAGUAUAAUAUCUCCAACAUUUAUAUGAAGAGACGGACGGACGGACAGCAAGACAGGCAUUGCACACAACCUUUAUACUCUUUUGAUAUCCUGAAUCCUUUGUAAAUGAGUAGAAAGGAUAUACUGGCUUUGGGCGUCGCUCCCCCCAGUCUACCCAAAUUUGGAAGAGACUCACGUUUAAAGCUAUCUUUAAAGCCUUGUGAUUUGGCUUAUGCCCAUAUUUGAGCCAUUGAGGACAGGUUUGCCUUUGUUGUUGCUCUGGCAAAUCGUCAAAGAGCACAGCGACAGCAAACGGUAGAAAGAUAAAGGGAAAAGCGGAAAAACCGUAAGCAUUUAAAGUCGCGUAAGUUCGUGAACUGGAUAUGAGAAACCAACAAGGACAACAAGUGAGGAAAUAUAGUAUAAAACCGAAAGGGAAACACGUAAAAUUGAAUGCAAGACACGUUGCAGGAUUUAUUGCCAAAAGAAGCAGCCGCCAAACGCAGACUAAUAAACACUGAGAGCGAGAAAUUAAAAACAGGGAGAUAGAGAGAGAGAGAGUUA